UGGCUCAGAUGGUAAAGUGUCUGCCUGCAAUGCAGGAGACCCAGGCUCGAUCCCUGG
This 57-nucleotide transfer RNA is filed under the name Ovis aries (sheep). It matches the Rfam family "tRNA", at positions 8 to 63 of the family's 71-position model. From Rfam's summary of the family: Transfer RNA (tRNA) molecules are approximately 80 nucleotides in length. Their secondary structure includes four short double-helical elements and three loops (D, anti-codon, and T loops). The record is from Rfam by way of RNAcentral. Lineage: Eukaryota; Metazoa; Chordata; Mammalia; Artiodactyla; Bovidae.